Non-coding RNA from Gossypium raimondii (Peruvian cotton), 119 nucleotides. The record is from Rfam. NCBI's taxonomy places the organism in Eukaryota, Viridiplantae, Streptophyta, Magnoliopsida, Malvales, Malvaceae.
GGGUGCGAUCAUACCAGCACUAAUGCACAUGAUCCCAUCAGAACUCUGCAGUUAAGCGUGCUUGGGCGAGAGUAGUACAAGGAUGGGUGACCUCCUGGGAGGUCCUCGUGUUGCACCCC